UUUUUUUUUUUUUGUGGUACGUGGGCCUCUCACCGCUGCGGCCUCUCCCCUUGCGGAGCACAGGCUCCGGACGCACAGGCUCAGCGGCCACGGCUCACGGGCCCAGCCGCUCCGCGGCAUGUGGGAUCUUCCCGGACUGGGGCACGAACCCGUGUCCCCUGCAUCGGCAGGCGGACUCUCAACCACUGUGCCACCAGGGAAGCCCUGUUAUUUACUCUUAUCCAUCUUGAAUUGCUUUUGUCUGUGGAAAAAUGAAGAUUCCCGUUAUAUUUAGAUUUGACUCUACCAGAGAAAGUAUUUAUUUCAAACAGGCUUAAAUGGAGAAAGCCAAUACCAGUGACUGACCCCCAAGAAAUCUAUACCAUAUUGUUAGUGAUAAGAUUCCUUAAUAGAAGGCUAGGGAGGGUCUAGGUAUGGGGUUGCUUAUCGCAGGCAGGUGAGUUUAUUUCACCGCUGUUGUGAGUGUACUGGAUGCUGCUGGCCCACUGGCCACAUACCUUCUCCUGACUCGUGCAUCCAUCCCCCAGGUACUGUGAGUUUGGGCUGCUAAGCAUUCACAGAUACAUCCUUCUCCAGAGAAUUGCCCUCAGCCCAAAGGGAGCCACUCCACCCAGGGAAUUACACCUAUGCCCCUCCCGACGCCUGGGUCAUAACCAGCAGCCAAUGACUGAUUGACACGGGGUACAAAAGGCUGACCCCCUUGCCUCAAGGUGGGAUCAGCUUUGCGAUGCUAUUUAUGCUGCUGUGCUUCCCCGUGGAAUCAUCCUGAAGUUCAUCUCUGGCUGAGGUCCUCCCCGUGCUUAGUUCCUCCUCCUGCCCUGUUCCUCUCCCUCACUCUUCCUCCUGAGUCCUCCUUCACUAAACCGUAUGCACCCCAAACCCUGUCUCAGGCUCUGCUUCUAGGGAAUGUGAUCUGAGACAGUGAGAAAAUCUAAUUUAAGUAACAUUCUAAUACACAUAAUUUAUAAUCUAAUGUAUGUAACAAACAUGUCUUACAAACUUUGUAGACAUAGACUCAAGAUCAAAGGUUCUAUUUUCAAGAGUUUAAACAAAUGUGUAAUACAUUGUUAACUAUGUUGGAGAGUUUUUUACCCGUAAAUACUGAAACUGUAUUGAGCAGGAUUAUUAGAGAUAAGAAUUUUUUUUUUUUUUUUUGCGGUACCCUGGCCUCUCACUGUCGUGGCCCCUCCUGCUGCGGAGCACAGACUCCGGACACACAGCCUCAGCAGCCAUGGCUCAUGGGCCCAGCUGCUCCACAGCACGUGGGAUCCUCCCGGACCGGGGCACGAACCCGCGUCCCCUGCCUCGGCAGGCGGACCCUCAACCACCGCGCCACCAGGGAAGCCCGAGAUAAGAAUUUUUUAACUUAAGAUAGUUGACCCACCUGGAUGAUAUUUAUUGUUCCUUGUUUUUUGAGGUUUCUGGGGUGUAAAUAUUCUCUAAUCCCCUUUCAUCAUUGUACUGAGAAGAGUAAUGUAACCUCAGGAUUUGGAAUGCUCCGUGUACUUUUGUUCAUGAGAUUUGCCUCUCACGCCUUACCAUUAAAUACCAUGUAGCAUGUUACCUAUAGUCCUUUUCGUUUCAGUCAAAGAGGAAUCAAACUAUUUCCACAGUGGCAUGAAUUCAUUUCAUUCUUCAGAAUGUACCCAGCACCAGCUAUGGAAUAAUACUUCCCUUCCCUCACAAUGAUUAUUUUCCAAGGCAAUACCACUUGGAUCUCAGCAUUUCAUUUUCUUUUCCAUCCCCAGCUUGGCCUCUAAGGAUUUUGAUUAUUCUCUACCUCACAUCUGAAGAAGAGACUCGGUGACUUGCUUCAAGUGGGAAGGCCAGAACCUUCCUUCACGCUCGGAACCGCAAGUUCCAAAGGAAUGUGGACCCACUGUGAAGGUUAAAGCUGACAUCUACUCCUUCAGGAAGCCUUUUCCCAUGGAGGCAUCUCCUGCUAUCAUCCCUGGCCUACAGAAGGCAAGUACUUUUCAGGCAUGCUCAUGCUCUUCUCAUCAGUGGAUUUUUCUUCUGAAACUGGCUUGCAUGGUGACAGAGUUAUCCCUUGAGGGGAGUAGCAAACUCUGGGAAGUCUCCGGAAGAAAUAGCACAUUGAUGGGAAGGCAGAGAGGAAACUUCCCAUGACCUCUGGGAAUCCCAAAGCACACACAGGUGAGGCCCAGGAUCCAGAGGGCCCAUGAUGGUGUGACUGGAGGGGAGCCCUUUGGACCACACAGGACUUCUUCCAGCUGGAGCAAAGCAGCACGUAAAGAUGAUGGCAGUUGGUUCCCUGCAGGUGAAAGAUGAGGUAAUUAG
Orcinus orca (killer whale) is the source of this 2301-nucleotide long non-coding RNA. RefSeq lists it as uncharacterized. The record is from RefSeq and is a predicted model, not a curated record. The transcript is spliced from 4 exons. Lineage: Eukaryota; Metazoa; Chordata; Mammalia; Artiodactyla; Delphinidae.